Molecule: long non-coding RNA, 836 nt
Organism: Dermacentor silvarum
Lineage: Eukaryota; Metazoa; Arthropoda; Arachnida; Ixodida; Ixodidae
Exons: 3
Source: RefSeq, a predicted model, not a curated record
AAGCGCUCCCGUGUGUCUGGAUAUCUCCCACGUCUUUCGUUCUCCGUCUAUAUCCCGCCAGAAACCCAGGAUAGACAGGUGACGUCGGUGGCCAUCUUCAGCGCGAUGCAGAGCAGCCGCCUGGACCCGUUCAUGCGCAGCCUGGGCGAGGGCUUCGGCCCCACGACCGACACCAUCGCGGUGGCGUUCCCGCGCAACCAGGACGAAGCGCGACUCGAGCUCGAGGCCUUCGAGCGCACCUUUCCACGAGUGCCGGCGCUGGCCAAUCAGGCCACAGAAUUCAACGUGGACGGCCAGUUCGCGCCCAUUGGCCGCCUGAAGCUUAUAUUGCUGCUUAUCAAGCUGCUCGACUAAGAAGGUUCGAGCAAAGGACUUGAGCUUGGCGGCGAGGCACACCGUCAGACGACGGCCGGGCCGUGUUUAUAUCUUUAUGUCGAGAAACAAGAAAAAAAAAAGCGUGACCACAAAGUCUGUGAUUUAUCUUCAGCAUAUCGUCCUUAAUAUUUUCUAGUUAUUCAUUUUUUUAUAUUAGAGCUACAGCGUGGUCUCGCCGCACAAAUACACGAUUCCACCACGGCACGUAUGCUGCACGUGGCAAUAAUUCAACGCUACCCGUAUAGACCAUCCCGAGACCUGACGACAACAGCGAACCACAGAGAUUAACGUAUGAAACGUGCUGCCGGGCUGUUCUUUAAAAAAUGAACUACGUAAUAUUCCGUGAUUCAUUGCCAUGGUGAUGCGGCAUCCUUGAUCCUCAGUCAUCUCUCAUUAUUCGAACGAUACUUCGCAGUUAACUUUUCGUUGUUGACGACACAACCGUUUAGAUGAAAUCAGCA